UGCAUGUGUACGUGUGCGUGCGUAUGCGUGUGUGUGUGUGCGCGUGUUCAUAGGAGCGUUGCAGAAAGAAAAAAAUAAAAGAGUCCUGUGCAGGAAAACAUUCGAGUCCCAGGCGUCCAGUUCCAGGCUGCCACGGUAACCGCUGCAAGGCCACGGACUUACAUUCCACAUAUUUACACAGAAACAGUGAUUUAUUUAUGAAGGCAGCCUGCUGAAGGCUCUGCAGUCUUUAGAGAAAAAAAA
Poecilia latipinna (sailfin molly) is the source of this 243-nucleotide long non-coding RNA. RefSeq lists it as uncharacterized. The transcript is spliced from 2 exons. The record is from RefSeq and is a predicted model, not a curated record. Lineage: Eukaryota; Metazoa; Chordata; Actinopteri; Cyprinodontiformes; Poeciliidae.